GAAACUCGCCUACAUGAAGCUGGAGUUACUAGUAAUCGCAGAUCAGAAUGCUGCGGUGAAUGCGUUCCCGGGUCUUGUACACACCGCCCGUCACACCACGGAAGUUGGGGCGCCCGAAGCCACUUAGCUAACCCUUUUGGGAAGCGAGUGUCGAAGAUGAAAUCAAUAACUGGGGUGAAGUCGUAACAAGGUAGC
Molecule: ribosomal RNA, 195 nt
Filed under: uncultured bacterium
Lineage: Bacteria
Description: partial 16S ribosomal RNA
Rfam family: Bacterial small subunit ribosomal RNA
Source: RNAcentral